UACAGAGGUCCCGAGCGUUGUUCGGAUUCAUUGGGCGUAAAGGGUGCGUAGGCGGCGGGGCAAGUCUGAUGUGAAAUCCCGGGGCUCAACCCCGGAACUGCAUUGGAUACUGCCUUGCUAGAGUACUGGAGAGGGAACUGGAAUUCCUGGUGUAGCGGUGAAAUGCGUAGAGAUCAGGAGGAACACCCGUGGCGAAGGCGGCCCUCUGGCUCGACCCUGACGCUGAGGCGCGAAAGCGUGGGGAGCGAACGGG
Molecule: ribosomal RNA, 253 nt
Filed under: uncultured bacterium
Lineage: Bacteria
Description: partial 16S ribosomal RNA
Rfam family: Bacterial small subunit ribosomal RNA
Source: RNAcentral